This 454-nucleotide ribosomal RNA is filed under the name uncultured bacterium. Its description in RNAcentral is "bacterial SSU rRNA". It matches the Rfam family "Bacterial small subunit ribosomal RNA", at positions 340 to 786 of the family's 1533-position model. The record is from RNAcentral.
UACGGAAGGCAGCAGUGGGGAAUAUUGCACAAUGGGCGCAAGCCUGAUGCAGCCAUGCCGCGUGUAUGAAGAAGGCCUUCGGGUUGUAAAGUACUUUCAGUCGUGAGGAAGGUGUUAAGGUUAAUAACCUUAGCAAUUGACGUUAGCGACAGAAGAAGCACCGGCUAACUCCGUGCCAGCAGCCGCGGUAAUACGGAGGGUGCGAGCGUUAAUCGGAAUUACUGGGCGUAAAGGGCACGCAGGCGGUUAAUUAAGUUGGAUGUGAAAUCCCCGGGCUUAACCUGGGAAUGGCAUUCAAGACUGGUUAGCUAGAGUCUUGUAGAGGGGGUUAGAAUUCCAUGUGUAGCGGUGAAAUGCGUAGAGAUGUGGAGGAAUACCGGUGGCGAAGGCGGCCCCUGGGACAAGACUGACGCUCAUGUGCGAAAGCGUGGGGAGCAAACAGGAUUUAGAUACC